This 253-nucleotide ribosomal RNA is filed under the name uncultured bacterium. RNAcentral describes it as "partial 16S ribosomal RNA". It matches the Rfam family "Bacterial small subunit ribosomal RNA", at positions 524 to 776 of the family's 1533-position model. The record is from RNAcentral.
UACGUAGGGGGCAAGCGUUGUCCGGAUUUAUUGGGCGUAAAGAGCGUGUAGGCGGCCAGGUAGGUCAGCUGUGAAAACUCGAGGCUCAACCUCGAGAUGUCGGCUGAAACCAUCUGGCUAGAGUCCGGAAGAGGAGAAUGGAAUUCCCGGUGUAGCGGUGAAAUGCGCAGAUAUCGGGAAGAACACCAGUGGCGAAGGCGGCUCACUGGUCCGGUACUGACGCUGAGGUGCGAAAGCGUGGGGAGCAAACAGG